This 334-nucleotide ribosomal RNA is filed under the name uncultured archaeon. Its description in RNAcentral is "bacterial SSU rRNA". It matches the Rfam family "Archaeal small subunit ribosomal RNA", at positions 85 to 421 of the family's 1478-position model. The record is from RNAcentral.
ACUGCUCAGUAACACGUAGUCAACAUGCCCAGGGGACGUGGAUAACCUCGGGAAACUGAGGAUAAACCGCGAUAGGCCAUAAUUCCUGGAAUGGUUUAUGACUGAAACCUAUAUGGCCCCUGGAUUGGACUGCGGCCGAUCAGGCUGUUGGUGAGGUAAUGGCCCACCAAACCUGUAACCGGUACGGGCUCUGAGAGGAGAAGCCCGGAGAUGGGCACUGAGACAAGGGCCCAGGCCCUAUGGGGCGCAGCAGGCGCGAAACCUCUGCAAUAGGCGAAAGCCUGACAGGGUUACUCUGAGUGGUUCCCGCUAAGGGGAUCUUUUGGCACCUCUA